Molecule: ribosomal RNA, 253 nt
Filed under: uncultured bacterium
Lineage: Bacteria
Description: partial 16S ribosomal RNA
Rfam family: Bacterial small subunit ribosomal RNA
Source: RNAcentral
UACGGAGGAUCCAAGCGUUAUCCGGAUUUAUUGGGUUUAAAGGGUGCGUAGGCGGAUUGAUAAGUUAGAGGUGAAAUGUCCGAGCUCAACUCGGGAACUGCCUCUAAUACUGUUGAUCUAGAGAGUAGAUGCGGUAGGCGGAAUGUAUGGUGUAGCGGUGAAAUGCUUAGAGAUCAUACAGAACACCGAUUGCGAAGGCAGCUUACCAAUCUAUAUCUGACGUUGAGGCACGAAAGCGUGGGUAGCAAACAGG